Pollicipes pollicipes is the source of this 592-nucleotide long non-coding RNA. RefSeq lists it as uncharacterized. The record is from RefSeq and is a predicted model, not a curated record. The transcript has 3 exons. NCBI's taxonomy places the organism in Eukaryota, Metazoa, Arthropoda, Thecostraca, Pollicipedomorpha, Pollicipedidae.
CGCCCCGGUCUUCAACUUCGGCAGCGGACAGCAGCAGCCGCCGCAGCAGGAGGCGUCGGCCGCCGCGUCCGCUACACCUGGCGUCUUCCGCUUCGGAACGCCGUCAGCUGCGCCUGCCGGGCCAGCUGCGCCGGCAUUCGGAGCGACGAACCCCGCACAGGCGGCCAACCCAUUCGUGGUGUCGGGUACCGGCGUCCCGGCCGGCCGGCGGAUCCGGACUGCCAAGCGGCGCACGAAAAAGUGAUGCCGCGGCGGGGCUGGCCGUGCGAUUGCGUGUGAGUGAGAGUGGAGCGAGCGAGCGAGCCGGACGGCCGAUCGGACCGGGCCGCGGCAGAGAGGGCCGCGCCGGCGCCACGCGUACAAAUACCAGUCAUUCCGCGCGCGCGCCGCCGUGCGGGCCACCAGUGCCGGACGGACGCCCGGCCGGCCGGCGUCCGGGGGGCGCUGACUACACCAAGGGCCUGGCGACGCAGUCUCCCCGCAAUCGUUCACGCGCAUUUGUCGCCGAGCUUGUUUAGCCCCCUCCCGUUAAUGAGAGCAGCUUCUGAACUGCCACGCCAUCUGUGAUAAGGUUCUGUGAUCUGCCAGGCCC